CCUACGGGAGGCAGCAGUGGGGAAUCUUGCGCAAUGGGCGAAAGCCUGACGCAGAGACGCCGCGUGGGGAUGGAAGCUUCUCGGAGUGUAAACCCCUUUCGACCGGGACGAAUGCCCGCGAGGGAGUGACGGUACCGGUAGAAGAAUCCCCGGCUAACUACGUGCCAGCAGCCGCGGUAAU
RNAcentral lists this ribosomal RNA (181 nucleotides) under uncultured bacterium. Its description in RNAcentral is "partial 16S rRNA". It matches the Rfam family "Bacterial small subunit ribosomal RNA", at positions 338 to 524 of the family's 1533-position model. The record is from RNAcentral.